Molecule: long non-coding RNA, 122 nt
Organism: Homo sapiens (human)
Lineage: Eukaryota; Metazoa; Chordata; Mammalia; Primates; Hominidae
Source: Ensembl
CACUUCAGGUGAGAUGGAAGGUUGAACUCUACCUCACCUCCUGGCUACAGAGUGCGGUGGCGCCAGCACAGAGCUCUGCUCAACGUCCCUCUGUGCUUUCACGAUGCUGAUGGAUUAUGAAG